RNAcentral lists this long non-coding RNA (212 nucleotides) under Elaeis guineensis (African oil palm). Its description in RNAcentral is "long non-coding RNA (EGUI_LNC064036)". The record is from RNAcentral. Lineage: Eukaryota; Viridiplantae; Streptophyta; Magnoliopsida; Arecales; Arecaceae.
ACAAAGUCAGAUUAAAAGAGAUUAAGUUUAAUUUGGUCCACCCAACAAGUCAUAAAUUCUCCCACUAACUUCAUCAAGUCAUAAAGAGGACUCAAGAUAGGUUUACUAAGAGCACCUAAAUCAGUCAUACUGAUUUUUUAGUUAGCAUGAAUCAAUCCUAAUCAAUAAGUGAUCUAAUCAAAAUAUGAUUCACCACGUUGGUCAGGUAAGUG